Molecule: non-coding RNA, 27 nt
Filed under: Mus musculus (house mouse)
Lineage: Eukaryota; Metazoa; Chordata; Mammalia; Rodentia; Muridae
Source: RNAcentral
UGGCCAAGAUGUAACUGACAUGCACUC